GGCUCAGAUUCCUGUCAGCGGCGGCGGCGGUGGCGGCGGCCGUCAGUGUUCGCUGAGGAGAAGCCCGAAACGGACCCGUUGGCUCUCCCUCUCCCCUUCCCCGUCCGAACCUUCUUCUCUCUGGACUCACCGAGAGUCAGUUUUCCACUCCACAGAGCUGUUCUCCACUCCGAAGCCCUUCUCGUCGCUCGGCCGGGUGGGAAGUGACUGCCCUCGAGGAGGAGGAGGAGGCAGCGGCUGCCGCCCUCGUCUCACCGCCCCCGGUUCGGUGCCCGCGGAUCCCGGAGAGGAGGUGCCGCCGCCACCGCCGCUCCCCCCCUCCCGCUGCCCUCGGGCCGGGCUGGGUCGAGCUGCGAUGCCCUCGGACUUCAUCUCAUUGCUCAGCGCGGACCUAGACCUGGAAUCGCCCAAGUCCCUGUACUCGCGAGAUUCUCUGAAGUUACACCCAUCACAGAAUUUUCAUAGAGCUGGACUAUUGGAAGAAUCUGUCUAUGAUCUUCUCCCAAAGGAGUUACAGUUACCUCCACCUAGAGAAACAUCUGCAGCAUCAAUGAGUCAGACAAGCGGUGGCGAGGCAGGCUCGCCUCCUCCAGCUGUAGUUGCUGCCGGUAUGCAUUUCAUUUUACUUAUUAAUGAAAACUAGGGAACUCUCUGGCCAACAUGAACAGUCUUGGCAAAGUUCAUAUCAAAAAGAGUAUGAUUUGAGGAUUUAAAGAUUUUACCCUUUACAUUGAAAGGUUUUCAGUGUUUUUUUAAAAAUAUACAUACGUGCAUGCACACAUACACAUCUUACAUUUUGGUCCAUUUGUAAAUGCUAUCUCCUAAAGUGGACCUUGUGUUCAAAUAUGGGACCCAGUUUAAAGUGACCUUGUUGAGUGCACAUAAAAAAAGAUAAUAAACACCAAGCUAUGGCUAGAAAAUUAUAUUGACCUUUUAUUUAACAAUUUUUAAAAGAAUUAUUUACUUAUUUUAUGUAUGUGAGUACACUGUCACUGUCUUCAGACACACCAAAAGAAGACAUCAGAUCCCAUUACAGAUGGUUAUGAGCCACCAUGUGGUUGCUGGGAAUUGAACUCAGGACGUCAGGAAGAGUAGUCAGUGCUCUUAACUGAUAUUUCACCAGCCCUUAACAAAUAUUUUUAAAGACUUGCCCAAAGGGAAAAAUGUUACAUGAUCUAAAAAAAGGACUCAAGUUCUUAAGUCUCCUUUCUCUUUAUCGCAUGUAACUAUAGCCUUUCUCCUACAAUUAAAAAAAACUCUGGCACAGUCAGAGUUACAUAGUGAUGUGAUAUAUAUAUCAUACAUAUAUACACAUAUAUACAUACAUAUAUACACACCCAUACAUACACA
RNAcentral lists this long non-coding RNA (1350 nucleotides) under Rattus norvegicus (Norway rat). RNAcentral describes it as "long non-coding RNA NONRATT034008". Lineage: Eukaryota; Metazoa; Chordata; Mammalia; Rodentia; Muridae. The record is from RNAcentral.